UCGAGUGUGCUAGGGGUGAGGGGGACAACAUGUAACCAUGUGAGAUUUUCAUGUCACAGUCAUAUCCAGGCUCUAGUCCCUUGCUCUGUGAAGACGAAACUAUGAAAUGCUUCUGGCUAACUUCACAGUGGGGAACAGCAGGUGAUGGAUCAAUUACUUGGGUCCCUACUAUCCACAUGGAAGGCCUGGCAGAAAAACGCCUGCCAAUGCAAACCUGGUGCCCACUGGAGACGAGAGGCACCACCAUGAAUGUUAAAGGCAUGGCAGCUACCCAAGAGGCCCCUGUACUCCAAAAACUGGUAAUCAGGGAGCUGCACAACCCAUUUGGACACCGGAAAGAAGAGUCCAACAUCUGAUGGGAAAUUGUGUCGAUCAACAACCCAUGGAAGAAACAGUGGACGAGGCUCAAGGCCCAAUUAUAGCAGAGAGCAAGUGAAAGUUAUAAAAAGAUUGCUACUUGUG
This is a non-coding RNA of Oryctolagus cuniculus (rabbit), 462 nucleotides long. Lineage: Eukaryota; Metazoa; Chordata; Mammalia; Lagomorpha; Leporidae. The record is from RefSeq and is a predicted model, not a curated record.